GGCAGCGCGGGAGCAAUCCUGGCGGCGAGUGGCGAACGGGUGAGUAAUACAUCGGAACGUGUCCUGUAGUGGGGGAUAGCCCGGCGAAAGCCGGAUUAAUACCGCAUACGCUCUACGGAGGAAAGGGGGGGAUCUUAGGACCUCUCGCUACAGGGGCGGCCGAUGGCGGAUUAGCUAGUUGGUGGGGUAAAGGCCUACCAAGGCGACGAUCCGUAGCUGGUCUGAGAGGACGACCAGCCACACUGGGACUGAGACACGGCCCAGACUCCUACGGGAGGCAGCAGUGGGGAAUUUUGGACAAUGGGGGCAACCCUGAUCCAGCAAUGCCGCGUGUGUGAAGAAGGCCUUCGGGUUGUAAAGCACUUUUGUCCGGAAAGAAAUCAUCCUGGUUAAUACCUGGGGUGGAUGACGGUACCGGAAGAAUAAGCACCGGCUAACUACGUGCCAGCAGCCGCGGUAAUACGUAGGGUGCAAGCGUUAAUCGGAAUUACUGGGCGUAAAGCGUGCGCAGGCGGUUCGCUAAGACAGAUGUGAAAUCCCCGGGCUUAACCUGGGAACUGCAUUUGUGACUGGCGGGCUAGAGUA
RNAcentral lists this ribosomal RNA (585 nucleotides) under Paraburkholderia sp. Its description in RNAcentral is "bacterial SSU rRNA". It matches the Rfam family "Bacterial small subunit ribosomal RNA", at positions 68 to 648 of the family's 1533-position model. Lineage: Bacteria; Pseudomonadati; Pseudomonadota; Betaproteobacteria; Burkholderiales; Burkholderiaceae. The record is from RNAcentral.